Molecule: long non-coding RNA, 1612 nt
Filed under: Nicotiana tabacum (common tobacco)
Lineage: Eukaryota; Viridiplantae; Streptophyta; Magnoliopsida; Solanales; Solanaceae
Description: long non-coding RNA (NTAB_LNC005108)
Source: RNAcentral
GUGUGGGGUGGGGGGGGGGGGGAUACCUCAUGUUCCUUAGUUUGAUGAAGCAGCCGAGUUCGAUGAUUUAUUGGGGUAAUCUCAAUAGAGUGUGCCAUCCCUCUUAAAUAACUUUCUUGAACUGUAAUUCCUAUUAAAGACAGGUCGGGUUAAAAUGGUAUGGUAUCAAAUUCUUUUUAAUUUUCUAGACAUAGAUGGCUAUUAUUAUUAAUAAUCAAAUGACUUGCCAUAACCUGUUAGAAAUUUUAAUUCUUAGAUUGAAAGAACUAAAUGGUUCUAUAAAAAAAAUAAAAACAUCAGGAAGGGUACAUUAAUUUUUAAUUAAUUGAAAGCACAUAGCUCUAUUAUCCAUAUCUGAAACUUUAUGUACUUUGUCUUUUUAUAUCAUCAAAAAUUAAUGGGAAUUUGAUGGAGUAUUAGACUUUUCUACUCUUUAAGAAAAUGAAAACACGUGGGAGUAAUAAAAACUGUCAUAUGUAUGUUAGAGAGUGGGGUAUUUGUCUGUCAAUACGAUACGGUAUUUAAAUAUUUCGUUACAGUAUUUUUGGUAUUUGAUUUCUUAAAAUGUUAUACCAAUAUUAUACCUAAUUAAUUUGGUAUGAUUCGACUUUUCUCCUUUGAGUUUCAGUUUAUUCGGUCAGUAACUACGGUUAAUUUAGCUUGAAUAUUAAUUAAUGCAUAAAGCCUCGAGAAACUAAAAGCACAAACGAUUUCAAUAAGGUGGAUGUUGUAUAAAAAAUUUUAAGUUGUAACAACAUUUUCGAAAGAACACACAAACUGACGAUGAGUAAGAGUCUUAAAUCUAAAGCAAAAUUUUGAGACGAAAUAUAUCUAUUAAGGGCUUCUUUCGCCAAGCCGCCGAAAGUAACUUAUUUUGAAAAAUAUUUUUAAUCAAAAUUAUUUGUCAAAAAGGUUAUUUAGUAGCGGUUUAUGUUUGGAUAAAUCAUUUGAGAAGUACUUUCGUUAGUCAAUUAUGAAAAAGGAAGUUACUACUAGUUAAAUUGGUAAAGAUGAAUUUUUUAUUUGGGUAAUCUUGUUCUUAAAGAAAUUAAAAAUACUUAUUUUUGGAAAAGCUACUUUUUUAGCUUCCACUUAAAAACUAAAAUAUAACUUUUAUUACUACUCAAAAGCACUUAUUUAUUCACCAUAAACUUGGCCAACACCUUCAUUGUCUAAAGUAACUGUUUUUUAAAAAAAAUUUAAAAAAAUACUUUUGGCCAAUCAGAUACUUGACCAAAGAAUAUAACUUAUUUAUAUGUUUAGCAUAGAACGAGAAAAUUGCAAAAAGAAAAUGACCUUUUUUGGUUUUGCUGUUUCUUCUUUCGUUGGUUCGAUCUCUUGCUUCUCCCGAAUGAUGAGAGCUGGCCUGCAAAGUUAUAAGAGGAAUCAAAUCAAAUAUUCAUAUUAUAUAAUACAGAUAAUCGAAAAUAUCUGAUAUAUGGCCUUGUUUUGAACUUUCAACACAAAAUAUUGUUGGCCAAUGAGAGAAGAUAAUGAGAAAUCCGUUGACUCCGAGUCAAUGGUUAUUUUCCUUGUUUGCAUCAAUGGUCUCCGAUGAUAGAAGCUAAUAGAGAAUGAGAAAAGUCAAUGAUUAUUUUCCUCAAUAUUUUUC